Ameiurus melas (black bullhead) is the source of this 74-nucleotide non-coding RNA. Lineage: Eukaryota; Metazoa; Chordata; Actinopteri; Siluriformes; Ictaluridae. The record is from the annotation of a GenBank genome assembly.
CACAGUGGUAGCUCAGUGGUUAAGGUGUUGGUUUACUACUUAGACGGUCAUGAGUUCAAACCUCAGCACUGUCA